This is a long non-coding RNA of Eriocheir sinensis (Chinese mitten crab), 1937 nucleotides long. RefSeq lists it as uncharacterized. The transcript has 2 exons. The record is from RefSeq and is a predicted model, not a curated record. Lineage: Eukaryota; Metazoa; Arthropoda; Malacostraca; Decapoda; Varunidae.
CUCGCCCCAAUAUUUGUCUCUCUUGGUGUUUGUAGGCAAUAAGAUGACCUUUUCCACACACCUUUAUUCUUUCCCUCUUUACGACUUUAUUGUAAGUAUAUGUAACCUUAAACUAACGAAAUAUAAGUUACUUGAACCCUACUCUCGAGAUGUUACUUCGAUCUCUGUACGUAUAGGCAAGAUUACAUCUCUUAAAGUAACGCUAUAUAAGUUACGUCAACCUUAACCUGCGAGAUGUUUGUAUAAGUAACCUCAAUUCACUGGUAUGUUUGUAUAAGUAACAUCAAUUCAUUUCAUAUGUCGUAUGUUACUUUGAUCUGUAUGUAAAGGGAAGAUUACAUAAUUUAAACUAGCAAAAUAUAAGUUAUGCCAACCUUACCUUUGAGAUGUUUGUAUAAGUAACUUCAAUUCAGUCGUAUGUCGUAUGUUCAUUUGAUCUCUGUAUGUCAAGGAGAGAUUACGUCAUUUAAACUAAUGGAAUAUAACUUGUCAACCUUACCUACGAAGUGCUUGUAUAAGUAACUGCAAUUUGUAUGUCGUGUGUUAAUUUGAUCUCUGUACGUUGAGGCAAGAUUACGGCAACCCGGCACUCACUGUUAUGCUCAUUUUUCGUCUUUAUGUAGAUGUAACAUUACGAUCCAUGUUAUACUGAAGUUACUGUGUCAUCCCUAACAUUACGUAUAUGUCACUUUGGUUACUAAGUCUUGUUAACAUUACUAACCAUUAUAUUUAAGUUACUGUGUCAUCCCUAACAUUACGUAUAUGUCACUUUGGUUACUAAGUCUUGUUAACAUUACUAACCAUUAUAUUUAAGUUACUCUGUCAUCCCUAACAUUACGUAUAUGUCGCUUUGGUUACUAAGUCUUGUUAACAUUACGCAUUCAUUCACUUUGGUUACUAAGUCUUGUUAACAUUACGCAUUCAUUCACUUUGGUUACUAAGUUUUGUUAACAUUACGCAUUCAUAUUCACUUUGGUUACUAAGUCUUGUUAACAUUACGCAUUCAUUCACUGCGGUUACUAAGUCUUGUUAACAUUACGUAUCCAUUUCAUUUGUUACUAUGCCAUUUGUAACAUUACGUAUACAUGUCACUUUGGUUACUAAGCUUUUUUAGCGUAAUAUAUCCAUUUAAUUUAAGUUACUAUGUCAUUUAACAUUACGUAUACAUAUCGGUGUGGGUACCAUGUAUCUUGUAACAUUACGAUCCGUGCCACUUAAUAUACGUAUAUAUUUUGUAACAUUCUGAUCCAUGCCACUAAAAUUAAUAUGCCAUUUGUAACAUGAUGAAUUCUGACACUUAAAUUAUUGUUAGUUCAUCUGCAACAUUACGAUCCUCAUCAUACGUAAGUUACCAUGUCCUCAGUAACAUUACGUAUCUAUGUCACUGCUGAGUUACUGUAUCUUUUUUUAUACAAUCAUUCCACAAUCUUUCUACAAUCCCUGUCAUGCUUAAGUCACUACGCUGUCUGUAACGCUCGGUCCUCGUCACUUACGUCACCAUAUCUUCCGUAACAUUACAAUCCCUAUCACACUUGGGUUACUGUGUCAUCUAUAGCAAUGCGUACUCCUGUCCCUUCGGUGCUAAAUCUUUUGUAAUGUUUAUUUCUGUCACUAUUAACUUGCUCUGCCCUUUGUAACACUGAGACCAGGUUAUGUUAGUCAUUUGUUUUGUCUUUUUCUGUAUGUUGAGACAAGGUUAUGGAAGCUAGUCAUUUGUUACGUCUAUUCUUCUUUAGUUCAAGACAAGGUUACGUUGACUAGCGUCCGUUACGUCACGCCUUUACAUUGAGACAAGGUUACGUUAGUGUCAUUUGUUUUAUUCUUUUUUACAUCGACACAAGGUUAUGUUAGCCAGUCAUUCAUUACACAUGUUUUUCUUUAGUUUGAGACAAGGUUAUGUUAGCCAGUCAUUCAUUACACAUGUUUUUCUUUAGUUU